CCUACGGGUGGCAGCAGUGAGGAAUAUUGGUCAAUGGACGAGAGUCUGAACCAGCCAAGUAGCGUGAAGGAUGACUGCCCUAUGGGUUGUAAACUUCUUUUAUAUGGGAAUAAAAUGUUCCACGUGUGGGAUUUUGUAUGUACCAUAUGAAUAAGGAUCGGCUAACUCCGUGCCAGCAGCCGCGGGAAUACGGAGGAUCCGAGCGUUAUCCGGAUUUAUUGGGUUUAAAGGGAGCGUAGGUGGAUUGUUAAGUCAGUUGUGAAAGUUUGCGGCUCAACCGUAAAAUUGCAGUUGAAACUGGCAGUCUUGAGUACAGUAGAGGUGGGCGGAAUUCGUGGUGUAGCGGUGAAAUGCUUAGAUAUCACGAAGAACUCCGAUUGCGAAGGCAGUUCACUGGACUGCAACUGACACUGAGGCUCGAAAGUGUGGGUAUCAAACAGGAUUAGAUACCCUAGUAGUC
Molecule: ribosomal RNA, 460 nt
Filed under: uncultured bacterium
Lineage: Bacteria
Description: partial 16S ribosomal RNA
Rfam family: Bacterial small subunit ribosomal RNA
Source: RNAcentral